AACCCAUUCUCACUCCAAAGGCGUCAAAAACCGAAGCAUGGUCAAGCGCCCCUAGCGUCACUUUUAUGACGCCAAAUGUGCCUCUCGGCGUCGACUAUCGAAGCACUACGACCUUCAUUGCUUUCAGUGGGAAACUUUUGGCGUCAGAAUUCGACACGAGGACAGGAGAUGUUUAUCGCUAUGAAAUCACGUUCAAGAAGUCUCAUUCAGCACACAUCGCGCGAUACUUGCUAUCAGUUCCACAGUUUGGCUGAAAAGACGUAAAGGCAGUCAGCCCAGUGGUGUUUCUGGAGAGGGAUUCCUUCAGAAAUGGAGAAGACAGAAAGCUGCGGAGGCAGAUAUUUGCAGCAGAUUGUUUGAGGAUAACACUGCAGUUCUCCAUCAUGCACAAGGACUCACCUCGUUAACUCUUUAUCCCCCACACACACAGAUAUGGUCCCUGGAUCAGUGAUUAGACUUUGCAGUGGUUAGAUUUUUGCAGAAGAUGUAACUUUGUUUUAUUUAUAAGCUCAUAAUGAAUACAUUACAGAACCAGUGAUGAAAACAAUAGUUAAAAAUAGUAUUUUUCGUAUUGAUAAAGCAUUUUGUUCUCUUUUUCAAGCUUCAUACAGUGAACUUUUUAGACUUUAAUUAAGAGUUUUAGUAAAGGAGAUAUUCAUACACAGUCAUCCUCUAGCUCCAGUCAUGAAGUGAAUUCAUGAUGUUAUUGUCAAAGCUAGCAGGUGUUUGUUUUCCUGAACACUUUCUCUGUCUUCCAUUGUUCAGACAAUCAGUGUUUAUUUGAUGCUGUGCUGAUUGAGUUUUAUAGAUGAUAUUGCACACUUGACAUGCAUGUCUUCAUGGUGUUUUUUUUGUGAGUUUGAAACAUUU
Molecule: long non-coding RNA, 870 nt
Organism: Carassius gibelio (silver crucian carp)
Lineage: Eukaryota; Metazoa; Chordata; Actinopteri; Cypriniformes; Cyprinidae
Exons: 3
Source: RefSeq, a predicted model, not a curated record